CACGGGUGAGUAAUGUAUAAGUAAUAUGCCUCUUACUAAGGGAUAACAGUUGGAAACGACUGCUAAUACCUUAUAUUCCUUUUAUGCAUAAGUAUAAAAGGGAAAGAUUUAUUGGUAAGAGAUUAGCUUGUAUUGUAUCAGUUAGUUGGUGAGGUAAUGGCUCACCAAGACAAUGACGCAUAACUGGUUUGAGAGGAUGAUCAGUCACACUGGAACUGAGACACGGCCCAGACUCCUACGGGAGGCAGCAGUGGGGAAUAUUGCACAAUGGACGGAAGUCUGAUGCAGCAACGCCGCGUGGAGGAUGACACAUUUCGGUGCGUAAACUCCUUUUAUAUGAGAAGAUAAUGACGGUAUUAUAUGAAUAAGCACCGGCUAACUCCGUGCCAGCAGCCGCGGUAAUACGGGGGGUGCAAGCGUUACUCGGAAUCACUGGGCGUAAAGAGCAUGUAGGCGGAUUGAUAAGUUUGAAGUGAAAUCCUAUAGCUUAACUAUAGAACUGCUUUGAAAACUGUUAAUCUAGAAUGUGGGAGAGGUAGAUGGAAUUUCUGGUGUAGGGGUAAAAUCCGUAGAUAUCAGAAGGAAUACCGAUUGCGAAGGCGAUCUACUGGAACACUAUUGACGCUGAGAUGCGAAAGCGUGGGGAGCAAACAGGAUUAGAUACCCUGGUAGUCCACGCCCUUAACGAUGUACACUAGUUGUUGUGAGGCUAGACCUUGCAGUAAUGCAGUUAACACAUUAAGUGUACCGCCUGGGGAGUACGGUCGCAAGAUUAAACUCAAAGGAAUAGACGGGGACCCGCACAA
RNAcentral lists this ribosomal RNA (806 nucleotides) under uncultured bacterium. RNAcentral's name for it is "bacterial SSU rRNA". It matches the Rfam family "Bacterial small subunit ribosomal RNA", at positions 100 to 928 of the family's 1533-position model. The record is from RNAcentral.